CCUACGGGCGGCAGCAGUAGGGAAUCUUCCACAAUGGACGCAAGUCUGAUGGAGCCACGCCGCGUGUGUGAAGAAGGGUUUCGGCUCGUAAAGCUCUGUUGGCAGGGAAGAAGGAUAGAGGUAGAAACUGGCCUUUAUUUGACGGUAACUACUUAGAAAGUCACGGCUAACUCCGUGCCAGCAGCCGCGGUAAUACGUAGGUGGCAAGCGUUGUUCGGAUUUAUUGGGCGUAAAGCGAGUGCAGGCGGUUCAAUAAGUCAGAUGUGAAAGCCUUGGGCUCAACAGGGGAAUUGCAUCAGAAACUGUUGAACUUGAGUGCAGUAGAGGGGAGUGGAACUCCAUGUGUAGCGGUGGAAUGCGUAGAGAUAUGGAAGAACACCAGUGGCGAAGGCGGCUCUCUGGUCGGCAACUGACGCUGAGGCUCGAAAGCAUGGGGAGCGAACAGGAUUAGAUACCCUAGUAGUC
This 465-nucleotide ribosomal RNA is filed under the name uncultured bacterium. RNAcentral describes it as "partial 16S ribosomal RNA". It matches the Rfam family "Bacterial small subunit ribosomal RNA", at positions 338 to 795 of the family's 1533-position model. The record is from RNAcentral.